GACGAACGCUGGCGGCGUGCUUAACACAUGCAAGUCGAACGGAAAGGCCCUGCUUUUGUGGGGUGCUCGAGUGGCGAACGGGUGAGUAACACGUGAGUAACCUGCCCUUGACUUUGGGAUAACUUCAGGAAACUGGGGCUAAUACCGGAUAGGAGCUCCUGCUGCAUGGUGGGGGUUGGAAAGUUCCGGCGGUUGGGGAUGGACUCGCGGCUUAUCAGCUUGUUGGUGGGGUAGUGGCUUACCAAGGCUUUGACGGGUAGCCGGCCUGGGAGGGUGACCGGGCACAAUGGGACUGAGGGACGGACCAGACUCCUACGGGGGGCAACAGUGGGGAAUAUUGCCCAAUGGGCGGAAGCCUGAUGCAGCAACCCCGCGUGCGGGAUGACGGCCUUCUGGUUGUAAACCGCUUUCGCCUGUGACGAAGCGGGGGUGACGGUAAUGGGUAAAGAAGCACCGGCUAACUACGUG
Molecule: ribosomal RNA, 468 nt
Filed under: uncultured bacterium
Lineage: Bacteria
Description: partial 16S ribosomal RNA
Rfam family: Bacterial small subunit ribosomal RNA
Source: RNAcentral